Neofelis nebulosa (Clouded leopard) is the source of this 6326-nucleotide long non-coding RNA. RefSeq lists it as uncharacterized. The transcript has 2 exons. Lineage: Eukaryota; Metazoa; Chordata; Mammalia; Carnivora; Felidae. The record is from RefSeq and is a predicted model, not a curated record.
AAAAAUUAAAAAAAAAAAAAAAAUUUCUUUUGAGAUAUGAUUGACACGGUAGCUUCCUUCUUCACAGCCACCUGACACUGACCUUUUAAAAAAGGCUUCUCUAGUUAGGUCGGGCUGACCCAGGAUAAACUCCGUUUGAAGUCAAAACCAAUGGAUUACUACCGGGAUCACAGGAGUAACACCCAUCUUCUUCACAGGUCCCGCCCACAUUCAAGGGGCAGGGAUUAUACAGGUGUUGUUCCCGGCAGACAGGGAUCUUGGGGCCUGAGAAUCCCGCCUACCACAUUACCAAGUUGUCUUCAGGAAAAUCGGUAUUUCCAUCAACAAUGUGUCAGAGCACUUGAUCUGUUGUGUGUUAUUCUUUGACCUCUCAUAUGUUGCAAAUAUUUUUUGACCUUACCAUUUGUCUUACGUUUGUUUAUAGAGGAUUUGGGGAGAUGUUUUACUUUUUAACGUAGUCAGAUUCUUCAGUUAUCUCUUUGUAAUGUCUUUGUUUUGACUCUUAGAAAGAUGAUCCCCACUGAGGACUCGUAUUAAAAUGUACCUAUUUUUGUAGUCAUUUCUGUUCUUUGUUUUAAAGUUUAUUUAUUUUGAGAGAGACAGCACAAGUAGGGGAUGGGCAGAGGGAGAGAGAGAGAAUCCCAAGCAGGCUCUGUGCUGGCAGCACAGAGCCCAAAGCGGGGCUCGAACCCACAAAGCCGUGAGAUCAUGACCCGAGCCGAUACCAAGAACCGGUUGCCUAAUGACUGGGGGCCCCAAGGCGCCCCUGUAGUCACUUCUUAUAUUCACUUUCCCCUAGCUGGAAUUUAUCUGAGCACAUAGCAGAAGUUAAAAUUCAACAUGAGCUUUCCCCUAAAAUGGUAAGCAAUUCUUCUAGCAUAAUUUAUUGUAUAAUUCUUCCUUUGCCACUUACUUUUGGUGCUAAUUUUAUACACACACACUCAUAGUAAGGUCUUUUUUUCUUUUUUUUUUUAAUGUUUAUUUUUUGAGACCGAGAGAGACAGAGACAGGGCAUGAACAGGGGAGGGGCAGAGAGAGGGAGACACAGGAUGUGAAGCAGGCUGCAGGCUCCGAGCUGUCAGCACAGAGCCUGACGCAGGGCCUGAACUCACAAAUUGAGACACUGUGACCCAAGCCGAAGUCGGAUGCUCAACUGAUGGAGCCUCCCCAGGCACCCCAGUAAGGUCUUAUUCUUGUCCCAUAUUUUGUUUCAUUGAUCUAUUAUAUCGGAAUUACAUUAUUUUAAUUAUUACAAAUUUUGAUGCAUUUUUUAAGAUUUUAUUUUAGUUUAUUAAAAUGAUUUUUCAUAUCUAUUUUUGAGAGAGGCAGAGCGAGAGGGAGGCACAGAAUCCAAAGCAGGCUCCAGGCUCUGAGCUGUCAGCACGGAGCCUGACCCAGGGCUCGAACUCACGAACCUCGAGAUCAUGACGUGAGCCGAAGUUGGACGCUCAACCAGCUGAGCCACCCAGGUGCCCCUUAGAUUUUAUUUUUAAGUAAUCUCUACACCCAAUGUGGGGUUCGAAGUCACAACCCCAAGAUCAAGAGUCACAUGCUCUACAGACUGAGCCAGCCAGAUGCCCCAAUUUUGAUACAUUCUUAAACUUACAAUUUUGAAGUUAUAAACUCACAGAAAGUACCGAAAGUACAGAUAAGUCCCAUAUACCUUUCACCCAGUUUCCUCCAAUGGUAACAUCUUACAUAAUUGCAGUACAAUGGCAACACCAAGAUGUUGAUUUUGGCACAGUCUGUGUUCUGUGCCAUUUUAUCACAUGUAACCAGCACUAAGAUCAAGAUCACUAAGAUCCAGAUACACCACAAAGACCUCCUCUUUGCUAUACCUCUAUAGCCACACCUUUCUCCCCUCCCCCCAACCUUCCCGCCCUCCUGCCAUCCCUAACAGACUCUGGCAACCACUGGUCUAUUCUCACAUUUCUAUAAUUUUGUCAUUUGGAGAUUAUAUAAAUGGAGUCCUACAGCAUGUGAUCUUUUGAAAUUGGCUUUUUUUCAUUCAGGAUAUUUGAAAUAGCUGACUUAUUGCAAAUAGGCACACUCUACCUUCAAAAACUUAUGGACAUAUUCAGACACACAUGAAAACGAUAGUAUGACAAUACCCAUAUAUGCAUCACCCAGAUUCAAUGUUUUGUCCUUUUGUUUUGUCUAUCUUACUCAGUGUUUUUCCUGAGUACUGUCAAGCAAAUCUCAGAUGUAUAAUUUUACCCAUAGUUAAUGCAAUAUGUUUAUCAAAUAGGGAUUAUUUUUAGCAUAAGCACAAUAACCUUGUCACAUCUAAGAAAACCAUUAUUAAUACCUAAUACUCAAUUUGGUUAUCUCAAGAAUGACUUAGCCCAGGCCCACACUGUAUUUGGUUCCUAGGUCCCUCAAGUGUCCUUGCACAGUCCUCUCUGCUAUGGACUGAAUGUUUGGGUCCCCCCAGAAGUCAGGAAGUCGAGUGUGAAAGGCCUAAUCCGCAGCGGGAUGAAAUGUGGAGGUGGGGCUUUGGGGAAGUGAUUAGGUUGAGAUCAUGAGGGUAGAGCCCCCACGAUGGGAUCGGUGCCCUUAGAGGAGGAGGAGGAGACCACAACCCUCUCUCCCCAGCCAUGUGAAGACACAGCAAUCUGGGGCAUCUGGGUGGUUCAGUCAUUUAAGCAUCCAACUUCACCUCAGGUCCUGAUCUCAGGGUUUCUGGGUUUGAGCCUGGCAUCGGGCUCUGUGCCGACAGCUCAGAGCCUGGAGCCUGCUUAGGAUUCUGUGUCUCCCUCUCUCUCUCUGCCCCCCCCCCCCACUUGUGCUCUGUCUCUUUCUCUUAAAAAUAAAUAAAAUGUUGAAAAAAAAAGUCUUUACAGGCACAAUGUAUCUGUUUAUCCCCCUUGCAAAAAAAAAGACGAUGACACAGCAAUUUGAUGGCUGUUUGCAGGCCAAGGAGGGGUCCUCACAGGAAUCGAAUCAGAUUGUUGGGACAACUCAGCCUCUAGAAUUAGGACGAAUAAAUGUCUGUUGUUGAAGCUACACAGUCUAUGGCAUUUUGUUACAGCAGCCAGAGUAGACCUUUUUUCCAUGUCAUUUAUUUGCAGAAAAAUCGGGGUCAUUUUUCUUCCACUAGAAUUUCCAGCAUUUUGGAACUGGCCAAUUGCACAUUUUUGUGGCGUGUUAAUGUGUGGUAUAACGUGUGUAUGUGGGUUUCGUAAUGCAAAGUUGUAAGUAUCUACAGAAGUAGCAAGACAACGAACCCAUCCCACAGCUGCCACAGGUCAAGCGCAAGGUCAGACUCCACCUCCGCCCCAGCGCUGACCCUCCAUUCUAGUUACCGCUGCUACAUGACAACUUUCCCCAACCCGUAGCAGCUUGAGACAACCGUUUUAUUUUCUCACAACUUUAAGGGUCGGGAAUUCAGGACAGGUUUGACCGGGCAGCUAUCGCUUAUGGUCCCCAGGUGGCUACAGGUGGAUGCUGUCUGGGGCUGUGGUCUCCGAAGGCUCCGCUGGGCUGGACGUGCAAGACGGCGGCUCCCAGGGCUGGUCACUGAUGCUACUGCUACGUGGUGUCUGGUGGCUCGGCCGGGGAGACCCACAGGCGGGGGGGCCAGAAUCACCUGAAGGUUUGUUCAGUCCCAAGUCUGGUCCUUAGGCUGGAAGGGCUUAGAGACCAGGGCUUCGAGGCCUCCCCAGGGGGCUGGGCUCCUUCCCGGCGGGGUGUGGCGGCUCAGGGUUCCAGGCGCCGGCCUGCGUUCCCGAGAGCAAGGCGGGACGGCAUCACCUUUCCCGGCCCAGCCUCACAAACCACUUUUCUCCACCUUCUAUUGGUUACAAGAGAAUGUCAAGCUGGCAGAGAUUUAAGGAGAGGCUACAGGCCCCGCCCAGGUGGGAGGGGCAUCAAGGUCACACGGCAGAACCGGAGGCAGAGCAGGGGCUGCGGCUGCCUUUGGAAAGUGUCCUCAGCCACACCGCACUCUUUCCACUUCGCAGCAAAUCUCAGACACCGUCUCCGUCAGUCACAUCGAUUUAUACCCGAGUACUUUGGGUGCAGCUCUAAGAGACAAGGACUGGUGUGUAUUCCAUGCGUUUUGAAGCAUAAUUCACACAAGAUAAAAUGCCCAGUCCUUAACUGCACAGCUGGAUUCGUUUUCACAAUUGUAUGCACCUGUGUAAUCACCCCCCACGAGAGGCAGAACUUUCUACCACCAUGCAGCGUCCCCACAGGCUCCCUUCCAGUCAGCUAGCCUCUCCCUCCCUCAUUCCUACCCCAGAAAGAACUUUCUGGUUUUUAUCCCAUAGUAGUAAGACCUACUUUUAUUAUUUAUGUGAUACACAGCAUUUUCGACUUGUUAGGACUCUCCAUUGCUCUUAGGCUUUUGUAGUAUUAGGUUAGUUGAAGGAAACUUGGACUCCCAAGGCCCUACUUUUUCCAGAUCUAAUAGGGAAAUUCUUCAGCUUUACAGCACAAAUGUGAGAGAGAAGCUGCUCAUGCCCUAGUUUAAAUGUUCCACCUGGCAGACCAGGUGUCUGCAGUUCUGAUCGCCGGAUCCUGCUCUCUGCAAGGUGACCAAGACCCGCUGCAUCCGCCUUAUUGAACGCAGCCUUUUCUGGGUUUACUUGAUCUCUUUGCAACAUUUAAUGCUGUUGACCAAAUUACCUUCUUUCUUUUCUAACAGCUUUGUUGCGGUAUAAUUUACAUACCGUAAAAUUCACCUGUUUGAGGCAUACCAUUCAGUGAUUUUUAGUAAACUUUCAGUGUUGGUCACCCAUCGUUCCAGUUUUGAGAACAUUUCUGUCACCUUCAAAAGGCCCCUUGUUCCCAUUUAUGGCUGAUCCCUGCUCCCACCCUUAGUCCGGGCUUCCCUUUAUAUAAAUUUGCCUUUCCUGGACACUUCACAUAAAUAGAAUAACGAUACAUGUGGUCUCUUACAUUUGGCCUCUUUCGGUGGACUAUCAGGAUUUGGGGACUCCCUCACGGGCACGAUGUCAGUAGCUUGUUCCCCGUCACUGCUGAGAUGCCGCCUUAGAUGGAGAAACCACACUCUUCGCCUUCUCUCUUGAAACCCCACCUUCACUCUCGCUCUCUGACCUUGCCCCUCUGUAUCCACCGUCUCUCUACCCUCUGAAGUGAGGGUGUGACAGACACUAGGUGCCUCUCCAGCCGACACCCACCUGCCCACACCUGCCUGUACUGGCAGAAGUCCAGCCCCAGAACUUGCACAUCUGAGCCUGUCCUGGCGAUGCUGGGCAGGUGAGACCCUCCAAGGGAAGGUUCUUGCACCGAGAACAGCCCCUCGUGAACGCGACAGCAGUCCAGGCUGCGCGUGACACCAAGGGCCAUCCAGCUCUCUGACAACACUGAGGGUGGCAAAAGCGUAGACCCAAACAGUCCUUGAUGCCAUGGGAUGCUGCUGAGCAAGCCACCGUGAGUGCCCUCUUGUGACCCUUCAUUUGGGAGGGGUUGAACCCCUCAGCGGUACAGCCGCAUCUUGUUAGCUGCUCUGUGACUUGCAGCCAGAAGGCUCCUGACCGACCGGCAGCGUUCUUCAAACCUCCUCCCCAGGACGCUGGCCCUUCCUGCAGUCUUCCACUCAGGCAAGGGUUCAUACAGCAGGAUCUGGAGUCCGGGCCGUGCUCCCAAGCCCAGCACCCUCAUUUCAAACGGCUUCCUGCCCUUGACCUCACAGGUGCCUCAGUCAGAGCCCACCCGUGCUCACCAGGCCAGCAUCGUCUGACCCACCAACCAUUCAUUCCUAGGACUCCCAGGUCCUGUUCCAGUCUGCGGAAUGUUGAGGGAGCAACAGUCCUGCCCAAAGACACUCAGCCCUCGGGAACGGUGGGUCUGCCUUGCAGCCAGACGCUGCGAAGUCCUUCUGGACUCUGCUAUGCAUCUACCACCUGGAAAGUUACCCAAACCUUUAUCCAACUGCUGUUUUCCGCCGACAAUUCUGGAUAUUUACCUCCUACAUAAAGGUCCUAAAACCCUUCCCUCACUAGGGCAUGCCCCCUGCCAUUGGUAUCCCACCACUCAGGCUCCUUUCUACACCACCCCCACAUUCCCCGGCCUCAGGUUCUGUCCCCUCCUGGGCGUACUUACCUUCGACUUCAGAUGAAGGCCACUGUCGCUUGGCUGCCCCUCUCUUUCCAUGGAGGCUCUCUGCAGGCUUAGUGUCCGGAGGCUUCUCAGACUCUUGAGAAUGCCUGCCCGUCGGCCUUUCCUUGGCCUUGGGAACUGAAUAGACGCGCCCCUUUUGCUCCUCACCUGAAACACACGGACAAUUAGUCCUACAGUUUACUGGAUCCCAGUCCUUCAGUUGGCUGCUUUGGCCCAUAAUGAAACAAGGAAGCUCGCAA